Parus major (Great Tit) is the source of this 1154-nucleotide long non-coding RNA. Lineage: Eukaryota; Metazoa; Chordata; Aves; Passeriformes; Paridae. The record is from Ensembl.
GUUUUCUCACUCCAGAGUUGCUGGUGGGGGGGGAAAAAAGAAAAAAAAGGUGCUUGUGAUGUUUAUUGUUUCUUCUGUGGAACAGAAAAUAACACCACCCUGCUGCCUUGCAGUGUUCAUCGCGCUGUACAGUGACGCACUUCCCACAGGGGAACAUGAACCCUUGCAUAUAUAUUCAGAUGAAUGUGGAGAUAGAGUUAGCAACGGAACCAAAUGCAGAACGUUAAAAAUGAUCCGGAAAAGGUUUCAAAUUCUUCAUUUCUGCGACAAGAACUACGACCAGACGGGAAAAUGGCACCAGGUGAAUGAAUUGUAGUGACACUUAACUGUCAUGGAGAAGAAAGGUAAAAAUUUUAGUCAUUAUUUUUAGAACUUCAAGGUCACCGUAUGUGAGUUGCUGUUAGAUGUUGCAGCAUGGAGAAUUAGAUAAUUGUACCAAAACUAGAUAUACAUUAGUUAAUUUUACAUGAUUUUUUCCAUUAAGGUUUCCAUUCUCAUUGCUAGAAUUGAAAUUUAAGAAUAUAUUUUUUCUAUUAAUUUCCUUUCUUAAGACUAUCAUGCAAAUAGUUUACACUGAGCUGUGAUAAUUUAUUUUCAUUUUUUCUUGCUCUGCCUUUUUUUUGAAUGACAAAAAACAUAACCAAAGUAGAAAAUAGUGCAGAGGUAAUCCAUUCUUGUGUCACAAAUCAUAAAAAGAAAAAAGUAAGGCACCAAUUUAUAGUUUUGACAUGCCUAAAUUACUCAUAGGAGUUAAUACUUAUUUUUCCCUGUCAAAUUCUUGUUUGAAUCUCACAGUGGUUUAUAAGUAAUUUAUGUACAAAACAGUGUAGUGGGCAUACAAGGCGGUAUUUAAUUAUUCCAGUCAGAGAAAUUUUAAAGCUGCAAAUUUUAGGCCUUCAAAAGUGCCACAUGUUAUGAUCUGGAUGCAGGGUACAGGAAACAUUUUAAAGAUGCUGAUUUUAUAAGUACAGGUUUUCCAACACAAAAAUGUUGCAGGAUACACGGUGUGAAAAAAAAAUGCUCUUAAAUUUACAGGACUCAACACACACAGAGGUGUGGGAGAUCUUUUGCUAUGUACCAAUCAGAAACAGGAAAUUUAUCAAGCCACUGCUGUAGCUUGAAUUAAAGUGGCAUAGAAUAUGCAUUUUAAACAG